GACGAACGCUGGCGGCGUGCUUAACACAUGCAAGUCGAACGGAAAGGCCCUGAUCUUGUGGGGUGCUCGAGUGGCGAACGGGUGAGUAACACGUGAGUAACCUGCACUUGACUUUGGGAUAACUUCAGGAAACAGGGGAUAAUACCGGAUAGGAGCUCCUGCUGCAUGGUGGGGGUUGGAAAGUUUCGGCGGUUGGGGAUGGACUCGCGGCUUAUCAGCUUGAUGGUGGAGUAGUGGCUUACCAAGGCUUUGACGGGUAGCCGGCCUUAGAGCGUGACCGGCCACAAUGGUACUGAGAUACGGCCCAGACUCCUACGGUAGGCAGCAGUGGGGAAUAUUGCACAAUGGGCGGAAGCCUGAUGCAGCAACGCCGCGUGCGGGAUGACGGCCUUCGGGUUGUAAACCGCUUUCGCCUGUGACGAAGCGUGAGUGACGGUAAUUGGUAAAGAAGCACCGGCUAACUACGUG
Molecule: ribosomal RNA, 468 nt
Filed under: uncultured bacterium
Lineage: Bacteria
Description: partial 16S ribosomal RNA
Rfam family: Bacterial small subunit ribosomal RNA
Source: RNAcentral